RNAcentral lists this non-coding RNA (23 nucleotides) under Cricetulus griseus (Chinese hamster). The record is from RNAcentral. Lineage: Eukaryota; Metazoa; Chordata; Mammalia; Rodentia; Cricetidae.
ACGGAGCUGGGAACUGUGGUGAC